UAUAUAAAUAGAUCUCACUCAUUGAUCACCCAGUAAGUUCGUUUCUUCACUACACAUAUAUAGCAUAUUAAUAUAUAAGUGAAUCAGUACAAAAACGAACGAUAAUAAUGGAGAAGAAAAUGGCUGGAUUCUGCAUCUUUUUCCUCAUUCUCUUUCUUGCUCAGGAAUAUGGCGUGGAGGGAAAGGAGUGUUUGAACCUAAGUGACAAAUUCAAGGGACCGUGUUUGGGUUCAAAGAACUGCGAUCAUCACUGCAGGGACAUAGAGCACUUGCUCAGCGGAGUUUGCAGGGACGAUUUCCGCUGCUGGUGCAACAGAAAGUGUUAAAACUACUCCAUCAUCAUCAAACCUCUAAAACCAUAUGAUAUAAUAAUAAUAAUAAUAAUAUAUGAAUAAUAAAUGCUUAGCUUGCAUUAUAUUGGAUCCCCACGAUGCGUUAGACGCAUGCACCUAGCUAGUUACUUCACAUAUGCAAGAGCAUGUACUCGAUCUUCGUGCAUAACAGAUAUGAGUUAUGUACUUCUUAUGUAUGUCAAAUAAUAGUAAUAAAUAAGUCUUGUUAUAAGAAUUUAAUUCUGUU
Non-coding RNA from Arachis ipaensis, 579 nucleotides. NCBI's taxonomy places the organism in Eukaryota, Viridiplantae, Streptophyta, Magnoliopsida, Fabales, Fabaceae. The record is from RefSeq and is a predicted model, not a curated record.